AUAGGUACUCUCACAUAGGCUACUAUGUAGAACUCUAGUUUCUUUCAUCUACAGGUAGCAAGUCAAAUAAGUACGUACAUCAGUAGAUUUACGUAUACACAAAUUACAGUUGGAAAAAUGACCCGACAUCUUUUGAUUUUAUUCGCAGUGUUAUUUUCAUACUCAGUUUAUUCCACUGCUUUGGAAUUUCCAUAUAAAAAUAACUCGCUAUUGACACUUGAUUGGUACUAUCACGAGAAAAACUUUACCAUACCAUGCUCUGAUACAGACGAAGUUGAAUGGAUCGUUGACGCCACUAGAGAUGUAAAUGCCCUGAUCUGAUCAACCUUAUAAUCAGGUGCUGUCGCCGAAUAAAAAGAACGUCGUAAUUAAAGAUGCCUCAAUCCAUGACAUAGGGGUUUAUAAGUGUGUGUCUAAAAAGGAUCCUAAAGUGUUCAUGAAAGUUGUACUUCGCAUUUGGGAGGGAUGAUCAUCAAGCAUUCAAUCAAUGUUCAUAUGUAUUGAUUUAAUCCAGUUGGAAAUGGUCUAUGAAAUAGAAUCGCAAAUAAUAAUCAACAAUGUGAAUAUUAAAAAAAUUAAAGUAUUCGAUUACCUACACACUACAGUGUAAAUUAAGUUAGGUAAUGUAUUUUGACGAUAUCAAUUACCUAUUGAUUGAGAUGGCAUCGGAUAUAAUCGUACGUGGGUCUAGUGUUGUUUUUCUUUUUAUUAAAAUCUGCUUCAUUAUGAAGUAGGUACCUAACUUAUUUCAUUAUUUUAUAGUCCUCUUCUUUUUUUAUCAAUGUGAAAAAAUAGUUUAAAAAUAAAAAAAAAUUAUACGCUUG
This is a long non-coding RNA of Planococcus citri (citrus mealybug), 824 nucleotides long. RefSeq lists it as uncharacterized. The transcript is spliced from 4 exons. The record is from RefSeq and is a predicted model, not a curated record. NCBI's taxonomy places the organism in Eukaryota, Metazoa, Arthropoda, Insecta, Hemiptera, Pseudococcidae.